GGCUUAGAAGCAAGGAAUCAGGAGUUCCCGUCGUCGUUGUGCCGUGGAAACGAAUCCGACUAGGAACCAUGAGGUUGCGGGUUCAAUCCCUGCCCUCGCUCAGUGGGUUGAGGAUUUGGUGUUAAUCUUGAGCUGUGGGGUAGGUCGCAGACGCAGCUUGGAUCCUGCUGUGGUGUGGCAUAGGCUGGCAGCUGUAGCUCCAAUUGGACCCCUGGCCUGGGACCCUCCAUUUGCUGUGGGCAUGGCUCUCAAAAGCAAACAGAUAAAUUAAUUAAUUAAAAAUUUAAAGAAAAGAAGCAAGGGAUAAAUUGGAUAGGGCCUUGUGGCCAUAGUGAGAAGUUUCCUUUUUAUUCUAGGAGGAAAUGGAAGCCAUGAGCUAACUAGGCCAGAAUUCAAAACCUUCUACAUAUACCAUGCUGUGUAUCUCAGGUGAGUCACUGUACCUCUCUGAUCUUUAGAUGUUCUCAGUGUGGGAAGAGAGAAGAAAGAGAGAAAUACACCAGGAAGGAGAUUCCAGGGCCGUUGAAUUUUCUCCUGUCUUACACCCUCCCUCAAAAGUGGGGCAGAGAGAUUUCCUUCAAAGAAGAUCACAGCUUCCCCACCUGUCAGUGGAACCCAGGACUUGGAGCCGUGGAGGCUAAGGUCUGAAUCCCAGCAGCUCUGGAUGCUUGUUGUAUGUGACUGAACAAAUCGCUUAAUCGCUCCCAGCUGCCAUCAUCACCACUCUAGAAGGGGCUCCAUAAGCUCUGCCUUCCCGACUUCUGGUAACAGGGUUCCUCUGAAAUCCAGUAUCUACAGUCGGCCUUAAAAUAGGAAGGGCUGCUCAUUCCACUCUCU
Molecule: long non-coding RNA, 837 nt
Filed under: Sus scrofa (pig)
Lineage: Eukaryota; Metazoa; Chordata; Mammalia; Artiodactyla; Suidae
Description: lncRNA (ENSSSCG00005012195.1)
Source: RNAcentral